GGGAGAGGAGUUAGAGAGAGGAGAAGAGGGCGAGGACCUAGGCGAGAGAGAUGAGAUACAAGCGAGAAAUCCCUAUAACUUGAUGCCAGAAGCUCAAGAAGUUGUUAUGCGUGAGGGUCGUCAACCGUUGUUGAGCCAGUCUGGACAUUGAGCCCACUUGCCAAAGCAGUUCCGAAUUCAGAUUACCCAUUUGUUCCUAUCAACAUGAAUGUUACUGAUAUCUCGAUGUAUCCUACUGUCCAGAAAAGUGAAGAUAUCAAGGAUCUUUCAGAAUCUGCAACUCUUUAUGUUUCUAUGUUGAAGUCGCGGAGGUUCCUAACCAUGUGCCUUCGCCUCCUAAGAAAAUAGAGAUUGUUUGUGGCUUGUAUGCCGCUAGUGCCCAAAAAAUCAAACAUGGCGACCAAGAAGACUAAGGGGCUGUUUGUUUCACCAUCUGUCAUCUCCAUCCAAAUGAUUCAUUUGUAUGAUCUAUUCAAAUGAUCCAUUUAGAUUUUUGUGAUUGUUUGUUUGUCCAUCCACAUAGCUCAUCUAGAUGAAUCAUCUAAAUGGAUCUUAUGUUUGUUUCUUUAUUUUCAUUUCCAUUCAAAUGAAUUUAAUAAACAAAUUACCAAAAUA
Molecule: long non-coding RNA, 615 nt
Filed under: Brassica rapa (field mustard)
Lineage: Eukaryota; Viridiplantae; Streptophyta; Magnoliopsida; Brassicales; Brassicaceae
Description: long non-coding RNA (BRAP_LNC001946)
Source: RNAcentral